Vespa velutina is the source of this 137-nucleotide small nuclear RNA. RefSeq annotates it as U11 spliceosomal RNA. NCBI's taxonomy places the organism in Eukaryota, Metazoa, Arthropoda, Insecta, Hymenoptera, Vespidae. The transcript has a single exon. The record is from RefSeq and is a predicted model, not a curated record.
AAAAAGGGUGCUCGCUACUUCGAUAGCGCGUCGCUUUGUUUUUCGGAUCGGCGGGGUAUGGCUAUCAAGACAUACCCAGCACGUAAUUUUUGUAACUGUGGGGUUGUUGGCUGCCAUUUAUAAGCACCGACACCUCC